This 71-nucleotide transfer RNA is filed under the name Lipoptena fortisetosa. Its description in RNAcentral is "tRNA-Val". It matches the Rfam family "tRNA". Rfam says of the family: Transfer RNA (tRNA) molecules are approximately 80 nucleotides in length. Their secondary structure includes four short double-helical elements and three loops (D, anti-codon, and T loops). Lineage: Eukaryota; Metazoa; Arthropoda; Insecta; Diptera; Hippoboscidae. The record is from RNAcentral.
CAAUUUAAAGCUUUAUAGUAAAGUAUUUCAUUUACAUUGAAAUGAUAUUUGUGCAAUUCAAUUUAAAUUGA